RNAcentral lists this ribosomal RNA (253 nucleotides) under uncultured bacterium. RNAcentral describes it as "partial 16S ribosomal RNA". It matches the Rfam family "Bacterial small subunit ribosomal RNA", at positions 524 to 776 of the family's 1533-position model. The record is from RNAcentral.
UACAGAGGUCUCAAGCGUUGUUCGGAUUCAUUGGGCGUAAAGGGUGCGUAGGCGGCUCGGUAAGUCGGGUGUGAAAUCUCGGAGCUUAACUCCGAAACUGCAUUCGAUACUGCCGUGCUUGAGGACUGGAGAGGAGACUGGAAUUUACGGUGUAGCGGUGAAAUGCGUAGAUAUCGUAAGGAAGACCAGUGGCGAAGGCGGGUCUCUGGACAGUACCUGACGCUGAGGCACGAAGGUCAGGGGAGCAAACGGG